Molecule: ribosomal RNA, 466 nt
Filed under: uncultured bacterium
Lineage: Bacteria
Description: bacterial SSU rRNA
Rfam family: Bacterial small subunit ribosomal RNA
Source: RNAcentral
UUCCAGACUCCUACGGGAGGCAGCAGUGAGGAAUAUUGGUCAAUGGGCGGGAGCCUGAACCAGCCAAGUCGCGUGAGGGAAGACGGUCCUACGGAUUGUAAACCUCUUUUGCCGGGGAGCAACGGGGUCCUUGCGAGGGCCCGAUGAGAGUACCCGGAGAAAAAGCAUCGGCUAACUCCGUGCCAGCAGCCGCGGUAAUACGGAGGAUGCGAGCGUUAUCCGGAUUUAUUGGGUUUAAAGGGUGCGCAGGCGGAAUGUCAAGUCAGCGGUAAAAUUUCGGGGCUCAACCCCGUCGUGCCGUUGAAACUGGCGUUCUUGAGUGAGCGAGAAGUAUGCGGAAUGCGUGGUGUAGCGGUGAAAUGCAUAGAUAUCACGCAGAACUCCGAUUGCGAAGGCAGCAUACCGGCGCUCAACUGACGCUCAUGCACGAAAGCGUGGGUAUCGAACAGGAUUAGAUACCCCAGUA